UGGGGUUUAGCUCAGUGGUUAGAGCACCCGUCAAUUGGUUGUUGGUUCGAUUCCAGCAACCUCCA
Pristionchus pacificus is the source of this 65-nucleotide non-coding RNA. NCBI's taxonomy places the organism in Eukaryota, Metazoa, Nematoda, Chromadorea, Rhabditida, Neodiplogasteridae. The record is from Rfam.